GACGAACGCUGGCGGCGUGCUUAACACAUGCAAGUCGGACGGUAAGGCCCUUCGGGGUACACGAGUGGCGAACGGGUGAGUAACACGUGGGUGAUCUGCCCUGCACUUCGGGAUAAGCCUGGGAAACUGGGUCUAAUACCGGAUAGGACUCCGGACUGCAUGGUCUGGGGUGGAAAGCUUUUGCGGUGUGGGAUGGGCCCGCGGCCUAUCAGCAUGUUGGUGGGGUGGUGGCCUACCAAGGCGACGACGGGUAGCCGGCCGGAGAGGGUGACCGGCCACACUGGGACUGAGAUACGGCCCAGACUCCUACGGGAGGCAGCAGUGGGGAAUAUUGCACAAUGGGCGCAAGCCUGAUGCAGCGACGCCGCGUGAGGGAUGACGGCCUUCGGGUUGUAAACCUCUUUCAGCAUCGACGAAGCGAAAGUGACGGUAGGUGCAGAAGAAGGACCGGCCAACUACGUGCCAGCAGCCGCGGUAA
This 478-nucleotide ribosomal RNA is filed under the name uncultured bacterium. RNAcentral describes it as "partial 16S ribosomal RNA". It matches the Rfam family "Bacterial small subunit ribosomal RNA", at positions 28 to 523 of the family's 1533-position model. The record is from RNAcentral.